Molecule: long non-coding RNA, 355 nt
Filed under: Mus spicilegus (steppe mouse)
Lineage: Eukaryota; Metazoa; Chordata; Mammalia; Rodentia; Muridae
Description: lncRNA (ENSMSIG00000002867.1)
Source: RNAcentral
CUGCUGCGGACCACUGGGCGCUGGCUGCUCCCGCUCGCCUCUUGGGGUGCGCUCGGCUCCAGCCCAACUCCGCCAGCUCCGCCAGCUCCGCCAGCUUCGCCGGCUCCAGCACCGCUCCAGCCCGAUUCCAGCCCGAUUCCAGCCCGGUUCCAGCCCGGUUCCAGCCCGGUUCCAGCCCAGCUCCGUCCCGGCUCCGGUUCUCCGCCACGCCUCUCUGUCGACGCUGAGGAGCAGCUUCGCAGGAAAAUCCCAGAAACCUUUGCAAAAAGCUUACAAUGAAAUUUAAGAAGUUCUACGAUUUCGGCGCCAUUUUCGAGUGGAGUGAGAGGUGACCAUCGAUGGUUUUUUCCUCCAC